GGGCGGUUGGCGCAAUGGUAGCGCAUUGGUUUCCGGCGUCAGUUUGGAUCUACCAAAGGCUGAGGGUUCGAGGUAAGGCGCCGCAACGCACG
Non-coding RNA from Venturia effusa, 92 nucleotides. NCBI's taxonomy places the organism in Eukaryota, Fungi, Ascomycota, Dothideomycetes, Venturiales, Venturiaceae. The record is from the annotation of a GenBank genome assembly.